AUACGGAGGGGGCUAGCGUUGUUCGGAAUUACUGGGCGUAAAGCGCGCGUAGGCGGACCAGUCAGUCAGGGGUGAAAUCCCGGGGCUCAACCCCGGAACUGCCUUUGAUACUGCUGGUCUUGAGUUCGAGAGAGGUGAGUGGAAUUCCGAGUGUAGAGGUGAAAUUCGUAGAUAUUCGGAGGAACACCAGUGGCGAAGGCGGCUCACUGGCUCGAUACUGACGCUGAGGUGCGAAAGCGUGGGGAGCAAACAGGAUUAGAAACCCUUGUAGUCC
RNAcentral lists this ribosomal RNA (274 nucleotides) under uncultured bacterium. RNAcentral describes it as "partial 16S ribosomal RNA". It matches the Rfam family "Bacterial small subunit ribosomal RNA", at positions 523 to 796 of the family's 1533-position model. The record is from RNAcentral.